GAAACAGUUUAAACAAUAGCAGCCAAUAAAUUGGUGUACAAGUACACAGGUCCCUGAAGGCAGCAGUUCAAGUAGAAAAGGUUGUAAAGAAGGCAUAUGGAAUGGUCUCUUUCGUUGGCAGAGACAGGAGGUUUAAGAACUGGUUUUGCCAAGCGAGAAACAGGGAAAGAAAAACCAAAGUUGUCUGGAAACACUGCUGAAGGGAGCUGUAGGGAAUGUCUCUCUGUCUGAAUCUAAGCUCAACUCCAGCAAGGUGCUGUUACCUGAACUUCAAUUCAACUCCAAGGUUAAAGGAACACAGCAAACUUCAAAUGGCCACAUCAUUCAACAAUCUAUACCUCAAGGGCAAGCAAAAGACUUAAUCAUAUAUUCUUUUAACUUUUAUUUGGACUCCAACUUUUCUUACUUUUAAUAUCUGUGCAUGUGUGUGUGAGCCAUUGUGUUUUUUUAUUAUUUUUUUCUCGGGUUUAGUAACUCAUAAGCUUACUCUUUCUUUUACUCAAGAAAACAUAGUUUGAUUGGAUUCUUAUUAAAAAGUAGAUACAUUUGGAUUGGAAAAGAAGCUAAAAAAAACUUUUGUUACAACCAACUGAAGGGGUGAAUAAAGGGGAAUCAGUUCCCUCCUCCUCACCUGGACGUAACAGCAGCUAGAACCAGGCAGGGAUAUUUAAACCACAGUUUUUAAAAAAAAUUAUUUCUGCUGUUUUUCCUCUACUUAAGUUUCAGCAACUACCAUUAUCAGUUUGACAAAAUUACCAUCACCAGAAAAGUCACUUCAUUUUUUUUCUCUAGAAUAAUUAUAUUUUCUCAUUGAACAAUCCCUGAAAGUGCAUUACAAUAAAAUCCUAGCCCUGAUGCUCAUUUCAGCAAAGUACUGGCAGACCUGUACAAGGCAGAGUUAAUUAAAAAUGAGUGUUCUGUAAUUCAGCCACUAAUAGAUCUAUAUCCUGCUUUACAGAGAAUGAGUUGAUCUUUAUACUUUCAGGGUAUGUUAAUGUGAUCAUUUGUAUUCUUGGAAUGAGAAAACUCAGAGGCUGCAAGUCCAGGGACAUUGAUUUGACUGUUUCAAUAAAUAAGAAUAUUUAGUUUAGAGAUAGAAAUGUGCAACAGUAUUUAUAUUGAAAAUUUUUGUAUUAUGUGCAAGCAGGGAUGAUUUUCAAACAAUAAGAUAACUGAUUCUUGUUUUGUAUCCUUGUAUAACUGGCCUGUCUUUUUUUCAGAAAGCAGAGAUUAGAAGUUGGGAAGAAGUACAGAACACUGUUAAGGAAUAGGCCCUUUGAAAGAAAGAACCUGCAUUUAUAUAGCUCCUUUCAUAACUUCAGGACGUCUCACAGCUACUGAAGUACUUUUGAAGUGUAGUCACUGUUAUAAUCUGGUAAACACAGCAGCCAUUUUUUUAGAUAACGAGAUCCCACAAACAAUAAUGAUAUAAAUGGCCAAAUAAUAUUAGCGAUGAAUAUUGAGGGAUAAAUAUUGACCAUGACACCAGAGUGAACUCCUUUGCUCUUCAAGUACACUUUUUCUCACCCACUUGAGAGACCAGCCAAGGCCUCUAUCAAACAUCACAUUUGAAAUUGAGUUGAAGUAAAAAUUAAAGAACAAAAUUGUAUUUAUAUAGUCUUUCAUGUCAUCUAGAUAUUCCAAAGUGCCUUACAGAAAUUUUUUAAAGUAUGGUCUUGUGUUGUAUUUGUAGGAAAAUGCAACAGCCAAUUUGCCCAAAACAAAGACCACAAAAAGCUGUGUGAGGAAUUGCCUGUUCAGCUGGUUUUGGUAAUAUUGGUUGAGGGGUUAUUGCUGGCCAAGAUACUGAGUUCAACAUCUUGUGCAGAAGAUGCUUUUCUCCAAUAAUAAAAUAUUCCUCCAGUAGGAUUUACUUUGUAGCUUUCCAUGUGACUAGUUCAUACUGAGGCUGGAGCUGAAUGGCCCUGGUGGAACCUAAACUGUGCACUAAUAAACAGGUUGCAGCUGAGUAGGUGCCACUUGAUAGCACUGUUGAUGACGUCUUCCAUCAGUUUGCUGAUGAUUGAGUGUAGACUGAUUAGUUUGGUUUACAACAAGUUGGCUGCAAGGAGCAUUUCUUUCAGAGUUCAGUUGAAAUUCUGUGUGCUGUCUAAAAGGGUUUAAAGCUCUUGACAGCUGAAGGACUCUAUUAACAGUGAGGUGGAAUUUUGUGUUAGCCAAGCUAAGAAGAGAGUGGGAGAGAGAGAUGGAGAGUUAAACAACAUUAAAACCAGCAAGCUACACUUAAGACACUAGUGACAUCUGUGCUGAUCUGGAACUCUACAACCGUAGGAUGGUUGAAGGAGAUUUCAAGGGAGAACCUUGCUGUAAGUAGGUGGGAAGCCCAAGAAAUCACAACCCUUGAAACAGUACUCAGAUCAAAUGAUUAACCUUCCAAUUUCUGAUAAACAUCUGACUUGGGUUUUUUAGGUUUAAGUUAAAUGGAUGCAUAAGGUAAUUCGAGUUAAAAAAAAUCAGUUUAGAGGAUAAGCAACUGUGUUCACUGUAUUUUUAAAAUCUUUAACAUAAGUGACUAUUUAAGAUCGAGUGUAGUUAUGAGUAUUCAUGUUCUGUGAUUUUUGUGUUGCAAAAUUCCUUUGGUUUAAACUGUG
Long non-coding RNA from Carcharodon carcharias (great white shark), 2612 nucleotides. RefSeq lists it as uncharacterized. The transcript has 2 exons. Lineage: Eukaryota; Metazoa; Chordata; Chondrichthyes; Lamniformes; Lamnidae. The record is from RefSeq and is a predicted model, not a curated record.